Small nuclear RNA from Mustela erminea (ermine), 140 nucleotides. RefSeq annotates it as U4 spliceosomal RNA. Lineage: Eukaryota; Metazoa; Chordata; Mammalia; Carnivora; Mustelidae. The transcript has a single exon. The record is from RefSeq and is a predicted model, not a curated record.
AGCUUUGCGCAGUGGCAGUAUCGUAGCCAAUGAGGUUUAUCCGAGGCGCGAUUAUUGCUAAUUGAAAACAGGUAGGUUUUAGAUUCAUUCACUUGGAAAGAAUGUUUACUUAGGAGAUACUAUGUAUAACUAAUCAGAGU